CCUACGGGAGGCAGCAGUGGGGAAUAUUGCACAAUGGGCGAAAGCCUGAUGCAGCGACGCCGCGUGAGGGAUGAAGGCCUUCGGGUUGUAAACCUCUUUCAGUAGGGAAGAAGCCGGCCCUUGGGUUGGUGACGGUACCUGCAGAAGAAGCGCCGGCUAACUACGUGCCAGCAGCCGCGGUAAUACGUAGGGCGCAAGCGUUAUCCGGAAUUAUUGGGCGUAAAGAGCUCGUAGGCGGUUUGUCGCGUCUGCCGUGAAAGUCCGGGGCUUAACUCCGGAUCUGCGGUGGGUACGGGCAGACUAGAGUGCAGUAGGGGAGACUGGAAUUCCUGGUGUAGCGGUGAAAUGCGCAGAUAUCAGGAGGAACACCGAUGGCGAAGGCAGGUCUCUGGGCUGUAACUGACGCUGAGGAGCGAAAGCAUGGGGAGCGAACAGGAUUAGAUACCCUGGUAGUCCAUGCCGUAAACGUUGGGCACUAGGUGUGGGGGACAUUCCACGUUUUCCGCGCCGUAGCUAACGCAUUAAGUGCCCCGCCUGGGGAGUACGGCCGCAAGGCUAAAACUCAAAGGAAUUGACGGGGGCCCGCACAAGCGGCGGAGCAUGCGGAUUAAUUCGAUGCAACGCGAAGAACCUUAC
RNAcentral lists this ribosomal RNA (636 nucleotides) under uncultured Arthrobacter sp. RNAcentral describes it as "bacterial SSU rRNA". It matches the Rfam family "Bacterial small subunit ribosomal RNA", at positions 338 to 974 of the family's 1533-position model. The record is from RNAcentral. Lineage: Bacteria; Bacillati; Actinomycetota; Actinomycetes; Micrococcales; Micrococcaceae.